RNAcentral lists this ribosomal RNA (759 nucleotides) under Triticum aestivum (bread wheat). RNAcentral describes it as "partial small subunit ribosomal RNA". The record is from RNAcentral. Lineage: Eukaryota; Viridiplantae; Streptophyta; Magnoliopsida; Poales; Poaceae.
AUGAGCAUCUCUUUCAUCCCAGGCACUUGGGCCCCACAGUGUUCUGGCCCAGCUUCUCAGCAAGAUAGGCAGCCUUCAGCCGGUGGAAACUCACUUUUAUCUUGCUUUCAUGUUUGCUCCCCCCCCCCCUCCCCCUGGCCGCCGUUUCAAGGCGCCGCCAUCCACCACCACUUCCAGCGUCCUCACCACCUCCACCGAUGUCCUCACCACCACCACCUCCGACGUCUUCACCACCUGCUCCCCUCGGCCCUCGUGCCAUCGCCUGCCUUGCUGGACCUUCUUGCCCAGCACUGCAGAGUCCAGCUCCCCUGUUCCAUCUCUCCAGGAGCAGGCCCAGAUUCAAGUCCCCCUCUCCUCCCCUGGCCAGGGAGGGAGGUUGGACGACGGGUGAUGGUGCCUGGGAUGGUGGGCUGGCGAUGCUCCAAGGUGGUGUGGCAGAACUGGGGGUGGAGGUAUGACUUGGCGGCUGUCGGCAGCAAGCUGUGCCUCACGGAUGUUUGGCGUAGUCGGAGCAUGCGCCAAGCGCAGCAGAUGGAACCUAAUGAAAGAACUGAGCACUCACUCAAAGUAUUUUCAUAUAGGCAUUCAAAUUUCUGCAAUCUGAUCAGCUUUUGGUCUAUUGAGCUAUAUGUAACACCAAUUAGUAACUACAUCUUGCAGGCGGGCAUUUUUUUUUUACCUCUAAAAUUACAAAGUGCAUCUGAUAGCAUAGCAUGGAACCUAAUGGAAGAACUGAGCACUCAAGUAUUUUGGUAUUAG